Long non-coding RNA from Helianthus annuus (common sunflower), 1090 nucleotides. RefSeq lists it as uncharacterized. The transcript has 7 exons. Lineage: Eukaryota; Viridiplantae; Streptophyta; Magnoliopsida; Asterales; Asteraceae. The record is from RefSeq and is a predicted model, not a curated record.
GUUAACUUAUUGGGACGACUUGUACUCUCUCUAGAUAAUUUGUUUUUUAUUUUUAUGUUAACUGAUGGAAACGAAUUGUCGUCCCUAAAAGUUAAUUCACAUACCGACAAUCCCAAAUCCAUUUCCCCCCAUUUCAUUACACGCCAAUCACAAAUCCAAUUUCCCCCAUUUCAUUACACACAAGCAAAAUCCAGCCACCAUCUCCUUAGUCCUUACCUGGUCACCACCUACGCAACCAUCACCACCGCAACGUCCACCUCCAUCGUUAAACCACCACCAUCGUUCUCACCUCAAACCACCACCGCCGCCGUAAUCUCCACCAAGUCGAAGUUCCAAAUCCAAAUCAUGAAACUUGGGCUCCACAAGCAGACUAGUAGCUGACUUCUAACAUAAAAUCGGGUUUUCGAGUUCGUGUUUCGGAUUUUGCACAGUUCCAAAGACUCCACAAGCAGCCGCUUCUAACGGAGUUGUAAUUGUAACCGAAAAGAAGCUCCCAUCCAUUUUAGUCGAUGAGACAUCGGUGCAAAAGAUCCAGUUUUUGACUCCUAUAUUGGAGUUGUUUACAGGUAAGAUUGCUUCACACAUGUUCUGUAGAAAUGACACACCUUGUCUUUGGGUGUUCCGUCUACUCUUGCUUUCAUAGCCUUCGAACUCCCACCUAAUGGAGCUAUUGGCACUCGGAUUCUGGAGUUCCUAUUUCGCUCCAGAUCUUAUAUGAUUGCAGGUGAUCGAUCGUCAGAAGUAUUGAUGAGGCUAUAACAACUGGCACUGCACUCUCGUUGUCAUCUUCUACAUUUGUUCUACAGGAAUGAAAGUCCCCUUGUAACACUAGUUACUUUCUUGAGUUGAAGACCAUCACUAACAUGAAGAGCUUUCUGAACCGCGGGUUUAUUGUAGUAACCUUUUGCAUAAUCAUCAAGGCAAGGAUCAUACCCACCAAGUAUGCGAGGCAUCUAAACAAAUGAGAAAAAAGUUGGUUGAAUUAUUAUAGUGAUUUAAUUAAUGUUUUGUGAAUUAAUAUAUAUAUUAGUGGGAUGCCCGGCCAUUGAACAAAUGAAAAGUUUACCAUCUUAGAUGUGGUCUUCUUGAA